GACGAACGCUGGCGGCGUGCUUAACACAUGCAAGUCGAACGGAAAGGCCCUGCUUUUGUGGGGUGCUCGAGUGGCGAACGGGUGAGUAACACGUGAGUAACCUGCCCUUGACUUUGGGAUAACUUCAGGAAACUGGGGCUAAUACCGGAUAGGAGCUCCUGCUGCAUGGUGGGGGUUGGAAAGUUUCGGCGGUUGGGGAUGGACUCGCGGCUUAUCAGCUUGUUGGUGGGGUAGUGGCUUACCAAGGCUUCGACGGGUAGCCGGCCUGAGAGGGUGACCGGCCACAUGGGGACUGAGAUACGGCCCAGACUCCUACGGGAGGCAGCAGUGGGGAAUAUUGCACAAUGGGCGGAAGCCUGAUGCAGCAACGCCGCGUGCGGGAUGACGGCCUUCGGGUUGUAAACCGCUUUCGCCUGUGACGAAGCGUGAGUGACGGUAAUGGGUAAAGAAGCACCGGCUAACUACGUG
This 468-nucleotide ribosomal RNA is filed under the name uncultured bacterium. RNAcentral's name for it is "partial 16S ribosomal RNA". It matches the Rfam family "Bacterial small subunit ribosomal RNA", at positions 28 to 507 of the family's 1533-position model. The record is from RNAcentral.